This 2029-nucleotide long non-coding RNA is filed under the name Pan troglodytes (chimpanzee). RNAcentral's name for it is "lincRNA". Lineage: Eukaryota; Metazoa; Chordata; Mammalia; Primates; Hominidae. The record is from RNAcentral.
CCUGACUCUCUCCCUUUCCAGGACUGAAGCUUUCACACCCCCAGCCAGCAGCUGGCAGUCCCUCCCCAGGAACUGUCCUUCCCGGGAGAGCCACCUCACCCAAGGUCACGCCCACACCCUAGAGGCAGCUCACAUUCACUAAGUCCCUCCCCUCAAUGCAGGACAACUCUGAAGGUCCUUGCAGACCAGGGCGCCCCUCCAUUGCAAGUGCAGGCAGCCCAGCUUUUCCCUGUGCUCACUUCUCCCUCUCCCAUGCCGGUGUGCGUCUUGAGGGCACUCCCAGCAAACUUGCUGCACACAAACCUCAGUCUCCUGGGGAGCCUGUCCUGCAACAGCUUAUUAGGUACCAGGCACGAUCCUAGGCACUUUAUGCAUAUUAUUUCAUACUAUCCUCCCAACAACCCCAAGAGGCAGGCACUUUUAUUAUCAAAGGCUAUGUAACUUGUCCAAGGUCACAGAGCUAGCAAGCCAGAGAGCCAGGGUUGUUAUGCAGGGAGUUGGGCUCCGGGGCUCUGAAAUGUUACAACACUGUCUUAAUUCCUAUAGUCUAGCUUGAGGAAAUUAGACAGAAGAAACAGUGAAGAUGUAUUCUGAUUUGAGGGGGGAAUAAAUCUCAGCCGGGCACGGUGGCUCAUGCCUAUAAUCCCAGCACUUUGGGAAGUUGAGGCAGGUGGAUCAUUUGAAGUCAGGAGUAGAAACCAGCCCCAUUUCUACUAAAAAUACAAAAAAAAAAAAAAAAAAAAAUUAGCCGCGUGUGGUGGUGGGUGCCUGUAAUCCCAGCUACUCAGGAGGCUGAGGCAGGAGAAUCGCUUGAACCCAGGACACAGAGGUUGCAGUGAGUCGAGAUCGCGACACUGCACUCCAGCCUAGGGGACAGAACAAGACUCCGUCUCAAAAAAAAAAAAAAAAAAAAAUCUCUGUUGCCCCAGUUUUCUACCAGUCUCGCUUUAGUUUCUGAAUAUGCAGCCCCCUGGUGUCUUAGUUUACUUUAAUGGUUCUUAUCCAGGGCCAAUUUUGCUUCCCAGAGGAUAUUUGGUAAUAUCUGGAAGAUCUGGAGACAUUUUUUCAUUGACAUCCUAGAGGGAUAGUAAGGGCAUUCAGCAGGUAGAGGCCAAGGGUGCUACUAAGUGUCCUACAAUGUACAGGGCAGCCUCCCACAACAAAUCUAGCUAAAUGUUGGUAGUACUGAGGUUGAGAAACCCUGUGCUCUAGCUGGAAGCCUGGUCUCCUGGCUGGUUUUACCCUGAAGGAGUCCCAGUGUGAUGACUGCUUGGGAGUGGACUUUGGUGAAGGUGGUGAGAGAUACUUGAGCAUGGGAGUGGAGAGGUUUGGAGGGCAAACCUCCAAGGAUUUCAUGAUCCUUGAAGGACAAAUAUUAUCCCAAGUUAGUUCAAGGGAAGAUCACACAGAGCUUCUGGUUAAUAGCAGUGGCUGAGCUCUGAAGGCACCCCUUUUCCUCGACCAGGAAGCUCCUAGGGUAAUGUAGUGGACCAGGCAUUUCCUACCCUCCUCCCAACUCCCCUGUAAACGUGUACACUGAUGGCCGGGCACAGUAGCUCACACCUGUAAUCCCAGCACUGUGGGAGGCUGAGGCAGGCGAAUCACUUGAGGCCAGGAGUUGGAGACCGGCCUCACCAACAUGGCAAAACCCUGUCUCUACUAAAAAUACAAAAAUUAGCCAGCUGUGGUUGUGCACGCCUGUAAUCCCAGCUACUGGGGAGGCUGAGGCAGGAGAAUCGUUUGAACUCGGGAGGUGGAGGUUGCAGUCAGCCGAGAUCACACCACUGCACCCCAGCCUGGGUGACAGAGCGAGAUACUGUCUCUAAAAAAAAAAAAGAAAAAAAAAUUAAAUAUCUAGAAUGGGCAGGGGGUUGUGGGGGAUCCUUCUCCCUAAGCGCUUAUCUUGGUGCUUCCAGCUCAGUCUGGCCAAUUCCACCUCUAUGAGAUAAGGAGGGUUCAGAGAACCCAGUCACUUUGCUGUUUUUCUGCCCACAAGUUUCUCUAAUAAAUCUUAUUCUAUGUCUACACA